RNAcentral lists this long non-coding RNA (28128 nucleotides) under Ananas comosus (pineapple). RNAcentral's name for it is "long non-coding RNA (ACOM_LNC001472)". The record is from RNAcentral. Lineage: Eukaryota; Viridiplantae; Streptophyta; Magnoliopsida; Poales; Bromeliaceae.
UACUACAAGGUGAGUAAUCAAACCAAACUCUUAAUUAAUUUAAGUUACAUAUAUGUGCAGUAGCCGGUACGGUCUAUGUUUUUACGAGCUAAACCGGCAAGGAAGAAGGUGAUUCUUAACUGAGAAGUUAAAUAGCCAAGAAAGAAUACACGAAAAACUUUUUUUUGGUGCUCAGCCUGGCUUUUAGAACAGCUUCUCUACUUGAGAAGCAUCUAGUGUAUGGUAAGGAUAAAAGUCUACCUGCAACAUGCAACAAAAUUAAGCUUUUGGCCUCAAAAGCAAAAACUUAAAUUUGAAGCCACUACUUAUAACUGCAGCUGGAAGCUGUUGGCGCAUCUUAUUAGCCAAAAGUGAUAAGCUCUUUCAUACAGUUCUAUCUAAGAGGGCAUUUGUAUAAGAAUGGUGACCCAGUAAGGUCAAUACAAGCCCAUGUUAUAGUAAUUUGGGAAUUGAAACACCAAGCAUCGUUAAAUCAAUGUAUAAGAAUGGCGACUACCACGACCCUAACACAGCUGCGGAUGGAACAGAAACCCUAUAUUUAUUAAGUGAUUAAGAAUAACUUGAAUUUUUAAAAUUAUUCAAAAUAAAAUUAAAAAUCUAAGAGGGCAUUUGUAUUACUUUGAAUGUUUAGAGAGGUGUUGAGGAUGUUGUCCUAACGAUAACAAGAUAUAAAAAUUCCCACGGGACAUAACAGAGCAAAUUUAGGGCAUGCAAACACUAAAGAGGAGAAAUCUUUCAUAAAUUCAUGAAAUUUAUAUUUUCAGAAAAUAAUUCGAAAUUUGAAAAACAAGAAUAGUUCUUAAUAGAAUAGAAAUAAUAUAAAUCAGUCAUUAAAAAAUAUAUAUAUGAGAAAAGAGAUAUCUCACCUACGACUCGGCAUUGAUCGCAGUAUAUCGACUUCGAUCUCAGCACGUCCUCCUCCACGACGCUGAGCUCGACCACGGCCGCGUCCGCGUCCGCCGCGGCGGCGUCGCCGACGCGGAACGCCAUCCGCCACGUCAGCAGGUGCGGCGGCGCCGCCGCGGCGGGGGGCGAGAGGAUCGAGGGCGGCGGGAGGAGCCGAGCGUGCCGCGACAGGAACUCCCCCACGCUCCACCGGAACGGCCCCUCGAACCCCUCCGCGGCGACGGCGCCGCCCUUAUCUGUGCCGCCGCCGCCGCCGGGGAAGGUGAAGAAAUCGCAGAGAUCGGCGGUGACCCGCCGCUUGGCGCGCUUGAGGGGUCGCCCGUUCACCACCAUCGCGUCGGAUCCCGUCGCCGCUAGAUCCCGCCGCGGUUCCGCCACGAACGGCGCCGUCGAUCGGCUAGGGUUAGGGUUUCCGAUUUGGGGAACAGCGAUCGGGGGUUGGGGAUCAAACUAGGGUUAAGGAAUCUCGGGGGGUAGGGUUAGGGUUGGGGUUAGGGUUACGGGCGUGAGAUAAAGAGGUGGGAGGAGAGAGAGGGCGAAGGGACGGAGGAGAUCGAUCGAAGCGCCUCGCGAAGAGAUAACUACGGUUAAGUUAUUAUGGUUAGGAUUAGGGUUAGGGUUUGAAUCGGGGGGGUGGUUGGGGUCAGGGUUUCCCCGAAAAGAGAGCGGGCGAAUUGGGCGAGAGUUAAAGACCGCGCCCUAAUUUUGGGAUUUUAUUUUAUUUUAUUAUUUUGUUAUUUAUUUUCCUUAUGGCGGUGCGCCCUUCUCUCUCCCAUGUAACCGUGAUAUGUCACGGUUUUGAAUAUAGAAUAUAUAGAAUACAUAGAUCAUACAGGGAUUUGUGAUAUGGGCCCACUUUGGUAGUGAUAUAGAAGCGGUACAUUGUAGAAUUCAAUUGCUAGAGGCUUUGCAUAGGCAUCCAAUGUUUAGAGCUAGAGAACUUAUUAAAAUUUAAAUUUAAAAUUUAAAUAAAACAAAUAGAAUUUAAUAAAUUAUUUUUAGUUUCUUUUUUUAAAGUUAUAGUAGAUCAUGAAACCCGUGUAAUAUUUAUACAUGGCACGGUGCGUGCAAUAAUUUCUCUAACUCCAGAGAUUUUGAAUCACGAAAUAAAAAAAAAAAAAAACCACAAUUCAGAAGAUUUAGACCGGGGACUCUUUUUCCGUUUUGAGGAGAUUUAGACCGGGUUUAGUGGAUCUCCCUGUAACGCCCGUGUAUCACGGGCUGUUUGACACUGACAUGUGGUCCCCACUGCGCGGCGUGGGGACCACAUGUUAGACGGGAGACCAACGCCGGAAAAGAUGGGAUCGAUUCCACGUGGCAGCACCCCCCGGAGCUACGAUUCUGUUUGGACCCAAACAGCGUUGCUGCGGCUGCGGUGGAUCCACGUCGUCCAUCAGCUGGAUCGUCGGAUGAGAUGUCGACUUUUGAAAAUACCCAUAUUAAAAUUAAAAAUAUAAAUAAAAUAAAUGUUCUGAAAGAGAUCCCCGAACUUCACUUUUAUAUAUAUAUAUAUAUAUAUAUAUAUAUANUAUAUAUAUAUAUAUAAAACCUCAUAACUUCCAUUUUCCAUUCCCAAACUUGUGAGUCUGAAAUUCCAUACUGGAAAAAGAUAUAUAUUUCACUUUAGUCCUCAAAAAAAAAAAGAAAAAAGAAAAAAGAAAAAAGAAAUUACACCUUGCAAGUGGUUCAUUUGCAGCUUGUACAUGCAUACACUAUAAAUCCAUUGAUUCUUCCCCUUCUCACGGUUUUAAUAUGAUAAACCAAACUUUGGAAACAUAGAAAAGAUUAUAACUCAAAAGGAUAAUAGGAUUUAAGAAAAUAACGCCAACGAAUGCAUGGUACAUGAUUGUUUAGAUGCACCAGGCAAAAUGUUUUCCCUUACAAUUACCUUAGUGAUAAUAAAGGCUCAAAUGUUCAGCUUAAAAGUUCGAUGCUCAAAACAAAAUUUGAGCUUAAACCUCAAAAGUCAAAAAAAAAAAAAAAAAAAAAAAUCAGAGCAAUAAAACGAGGCAUGAGAUUGAUUGGGAAAUACAACAUAUAGCGAGCACAGAUGUAAGGAGUAAUGACGUCAAACAACAUUGCAAAAUCCAAAUAAUAAUAUGAACAUGAGUACUAACACUGACCUUUUGAAUCGUUAUCUUACAAAAUGGUCUCUUCCCUCUGAAUAUGUCCGAAGAUGAUUGCGGCCGCAACUUAUUUCAUUCAUUUUGAGUUUUGAUCAUUUUCAAACCCAUUUCAUCCCAAAACUGUAUAGGACAAAAGAGUUAAUUCAAUGAAUAGCAUUCAAUGAAGAGCAAAAUGAACUUUUUGUUCUUCACAAAGUAUGCAAAAUGAACCAACAAUGUACAAAAUUUCUGCUGAUGCAUACCAGCAGCAAUAAGCAAAAUGAUUAAAAUAAAAAGCAGUGCGACAUUGAAUACGGCAGUAAGAAACUGGAGAGGGAAAAUCACAUACCAUUGUAUAGGGAUACCCUAACUUAAGGUGCGCUUAUUGAAGGACUCCAUGGUUAAGUUAGCUGUAAACGCUUGUAUGGAAUUCAUCUUCUUUAUGAAUAUCUCGACCUGCAAAUUACAAAUUUUAAUCAAGGCACCUUAUAUUUCUACAGUGAAAUUCCCAUGCGAGCACUAAUAGUGUGAUAGUAGGCCAAACUGUGACCAGUACAGAUGAACGAUGCAAUACAAGUGAAACUUAUUAAACCUGAAAAUGAAUGGUUCGACAUAGUUAUGCACAAAAUAGUUAAGUGAAAAGAAGCUACGGUAGAUGUUUUGAGUGCCAUCAUCACUUUCUUCUAUUUCAACAUAGGGGUUUGGUCUUAAAAAUAAUUGCUUAAUAGCUUCUUAAAUCACAUUUGCAUUAACGACAAGCAUCUAGUUUUAGGGCAUAAGAGUUCGCUUUUGUAAAAAAGACAACGUAUUGGCACCUGAUGAGAAAUCUCUGGCUGUGAAAUGUACUCGUUAACCUGUCGCACCAAAGAGGUAAAUGUGAGGAUCACGUAAGAGACUGCACAAUAGAAUCAGCAAUCAUUUGGUAGAGAUGUUAGCCUACCACAAUGUUAGUGGUUCCUGAUUCAUAUUCAAAUUCAAGCUUUUCAUCAUCACUUUGUGCAUAAAUAGACUGCAGCGUAAAUCUUGUCACAGGAAUGCCAUUAGGACGUUGCUGAUCGUCCAUUACAAUCUAAAUAAACAAAGACAAACAUUAUAAUAAAAUAAAACUUAGGUUUCUUUUCCAGACUAGUAUAUACAUGAGCAUAAUUCAACUUCCCCCUAUAUGGUUUUAUCUAUAUAAGCAUCACCUUAUAACCAAAAAGUGAGCAACAAGCCCUUCGGAAAACUGAUAUUUUCUCUGCAAAAACUGCCUUAUACCUGCUCCAUUAUGCACGCAUGCAAAAGUUAUUGACAAAUAUCAGUAAGAAUCUUUAUAUUACUGAGGAUUAAAGACACAAUCUAAUAAUAGUCACCUUUCCUCACGUUUCUCAAGUAUAGCAAUUUGACUCUUGAGUUGUACUAACUUUUCAGGUAUGUUGGCAUCUAUUAUCUUUCCCACAUCUGUGAAUUUAGAGAUGCAAGCCAUUAGAUCCAUGAAAAUCUACCAAUGUUUGUUGACAAAUAAAUUAUCAUGCAACUCAUAAAAGAAGUGUUAACAUAUCAAACUAGCCAGUCACGCGUGCACGACUGCACGUACAAUGGAAUAUAUAUAUAUAUAUAUAUAUAUAUAUAUAUAUAUAUAUAUAUAUAUAUAUAUAUAUGUGUGUGUGUGUGUGUGUGUGUGUGUGUGUGUGUGUGUGCUGACUUACGGGGAAAACAUACCGACGGAACACUACUAAACAAGUGAGUGAAUUGGAAACAUGUGAAAGUGUGCAAACACUAAUGUAGAUACCCGUGAUUGAAAAUCCAUGAACAGAAGUACUCAAACCAUCAAAGAACUAAAGGCAAUCUCUUUAUAGUUCUAAUAAAUCAAGAUGUUUUACCAGAUUGUCCUUUCAACUCUUCAACAGCUUGCAAUUUCUCCUGCGUUCUUUUCAGUUCAGCUUGUAGUGCUUCUAUAGUAUGUUUGGCCUCAUUGUCAACUGCCAAAGUAUUGACCAUUCUCAGCACCUUUGUGCUUGAUGCACAGUAAUCACCAUGACCCAACUGAUUAAAGACAUAAAUUGAUGGUAUGUUAUUUUAUUGUCAAACAAAGGCCUUAGAGAGCAUGGAUAGUACAAAGCACAGUGGAAGGUAUCUUAAUAUCAGCACUGCAAGCUAAAGUAGGAUUCAAAAGAUUUAUUGUCAGCAAACAGCUAUUUUGCACCAAAUAUCAUGCAAACAUAGUGGCACAUUUCUGAUAAAGUCAUGCAUGAGAAUAAACAUCUUUCAUGGAAAUAGAUGGAAGCCUUUGAGUUAACUAUAAAAUCAAGGGUUUUGUCUCUCAACACCUUAAGAAAUUUUCAUCAGUUAAUUUGUUAAAAUAGGCUCACAAACAGCAGCAGAGAUGCAACUGAAAAUAAGGAAAAGACAUAACAGAGAAACAAUCCUUUGACAAGUCAUGAUCCUUUGACAAUUCAUAGAAUCAUCAAUUUAAUUUGUGGUUAAAAGAAGAUACCUUUGACUCUAGCAAAGCUAUCUCAGAACGCAAGCGGUCACCCUCACGCUCCAAAGACUUCACUUUCCUUGCUUCAACAUUCAGUUUUUCAUUCAUUAGUUCUAAUUCUUCAUGCUGAUGACUAAGUAGUUCUCUCAGUUGAUGUAAACUAUUUUCCAUUUCUCUAAUACUAUUCUCUUUUUCAGCAAGAUCCUGUGAUCCCACAUGAAGCAAAAAUCAGAGAUCAAAGGGCAACAUACAGUGAUGUAAUCUGUACAUAAUAGAAUGUUGUCUAACCUUAAGUAAUGUUUCAUUUGUAUGCCCUGCUUUCUGCUUAUCUAAAACGAAAGAAUCCUUCUUUAGCCUGUCUCUCUCUUCAGUAACUGAAGCAAGCUGUUUCUCACAAGCAGAGAUAUCCAUAUUAGUUUAAAGCAGUUAAAAGGGAAAAAGAAACAACUACUUUAUGUGGCUACAUGAAUAAACAACUAGACGUAUGAACUGGCAAGACGGUCAUAUUACCAUCAAUUCAAGCCUCUUGGCCCCCAAAGCAGCACUCUCUGCUUUCUCUUUGGCCAAAGCAGAUUCAUUUUCAGCAUGUUGUCUACUAAGGCUAGCAUCCUCAAGCUUAACCUCCAAUUCCUUCAAGCUUGCACUAAUCUCACCAACUUUAAUCAUGUUUUCAAUUACUUCUCUAGUGAAAACACAAAAUAUUUUACAUGUCAAACAAAUCAAAUUUGAUAUGAAGCAUAAUAAGCAUUAGGAUCUGCAUAGAAUCUUCAAAACAGAAGAUCAACAAAAAGAGUACUUAACAGAAACAAGCCCAUAUUGCCUAGCUUAAGAGGUAAUUUAAGACUAGAAACAGCAACUAGUGAUACAAAACAAAAUUAUUAGAACCAUCUUAAAAGGUGAAUACGUACUUUUGCAGGGCUGCAAAUUUUUUGGGUAUAUCAUCAUAACAUGAUACAUCAGGUAUCUCUCUCAGCAAUGAUUUCCAUGACAACAACUCAAGCUCCAAUUUUUGUGCUCUCUCUUGGAAUUCCAUCAACUUUGACAAUUCCAUUUCUGCCCUCUCCCUCCGACCCUUUUCUUCCAAUAAUUUUUCCUUCAGUAACUCAUUGUUGACAUGAGAAGAUCUCAAUCUUCUGGCUUCUCGUACUUCAGAUUCCUAAAAGCAAGUAAUCAACGCAAUGAGCAUUUCAUUAACUAAAUAAACCUGGAUGAUGGAUCAUGAUAAAAUUGGGAAGAGAGAGAAAGAAAGAGAGAGAGAGAGAGGUCAUUGCUAACCCUUAUUUAUUUUAUAUAAAAAAGUUCUACAGGAUUCAAACCAUUAUUAAAUAUCCACUAAGAGAAAAGAUGGCUGAGAAGAAAAUAGAUUCUCAAAUAAAAUAAAUAACUCACAUAGUUUCGAAUCUCCUCUUGCAAAAGUUUCACCAAUUUCUGAUCCUCCGUAGGAGUAUUUUGAUUAGAUGAAGCAGAAAAUCUUGAUAGCUUAUGCUCUACCUCACUCUUCUGGUGGAGACACUGAUUAAGAGAAUAAACAUAUUACAGUCCUGUUAGUUUCUUUUCAAAUCCCAGUAGAAAUACAAACAGAACAUGUUGCCAAUGCAAGUCAAUUCCUUAGUGAUAAGCAGAGAUGGCCAAAAGACAUUUUCUACGAUACUUGCUUUGACAACUGUCCAAUAAAUGAACAUUUUUACAUUCCAUUCACACCUACGCGCUGAAGAACUUGAAAGAAUUGGAAGACAUGAUUAAAAUGACAGUACUUAUCGGCUAUACAACACAAGUACGCAGAGAUAACUAAAAAAAAAAGAAAAGUUGCUAGAUACCUCAUUCAACUGCUCUCUCAAGCCCUUCAGCUCUUGUUUCAGUAACUCCGCCUCUUUCUCCGAGUUUUCUGCUCUGAGUCUCAUUCUUUCGAGCUUGUACAAAAUUCAUACAGCAAAAGGGUCAAUAGGUCUCUCAAUAUUCUAAAUACAAGAAGCAUUUUCCCUUACUUACAUUAGCAGCCAGCUUAGAGGCAGAGAGAUUUAAACUGUCUUGUGAAAAUGAGAGUUCCUUCUUUAGCAUAUUUUUCUCCCUCUCUGAACUUUCAGUUAGCCGCUGAAGUUUCCCUUCAAGAUCUUUAAUCGUCUCCUUCGCUGAUGCUGCUGACAAUUCAGCAGUCUUACGAGAAUCACUUUCUCUAUUGAGUUCAACCUGCAGGGUAUGGUUUAAAAAAGAAAGUUGAGUUUGCAAGAUAACCGAAUUCGGAGACCCAGAAAAAAUUGUUGGCUUGAUUAUAAAAAAGAGGGAAAAAAGAAGCGCUUAAGGCUAUCCUAUUAAAUCAAGCAUCUAAAGCUCAUUUGCAUACUAGAACCCACAUAUCCUAAUAUCACAGGUGAAAAAAAGCCCAAUUCAAAAGUAAUAGUUACAUCUCAGUGAGCAUUUUUUAUUGGUAAAAAAGCAAAUAAAUGGUAUGAUCUUUAAAUCCACCAGGAAUGAAGUAAUAAAAGCAUAUCUCAGCUCCCUAAUAUGCAUCAUAUUGAUGCAUGAUAAUGCAGCACUUCAGAAUACAUACAUUACAUUACCAAAAAGCAAAAUGGAAGAUAAAAUCAACACAGGAUCACAAAGUGCUGAAGGGUGGUCCAAUAAUCAAAGAAAAAAAACAAAAGGUGGCAUAUAUGAUGUUGUUUAGUCGCAACAAUGGAAACACGCCAAAAGGCAAAACCACUGCUAGUCAGUAGGUUCCCAUAUGACCUGUUCAGGAUGUCUAAAUGUCCAAUUAAUCAUAUGUAAUGGCAUAUAGCUCCAAAUCGUUGAACAUUUUAAGCUUCCAGGCACAGCACUGACUACCUAAGCAACAUUUAGGCAAUUGCAUUGACAUACUUAUGAAAUUUCACAUGGAAAAAAGAAGAUUCACAUUAUGGAAUUAAGAAAAGGAGGUAUGGCCCAUUUAACAAACAGAUUUCAAAAAUUAAAGGUAUAAUCAUACCUCAAGUUCACUGAUACGUUUCAAUUGUGCUCGAUGCCGCUCAUGGGAAUCAGUGACCUCUUUUAGUAGCCGUUCUUGCAAUGCGUGCUCACGCCCUUUUGUUGCAGCAAGCUCUUGCUCUAAAAAGGUGAGGUGAUCUUGACACUUCUUUCUUUCAUCGUCUGUGGCGGCAAAUAUAACUUUGCAGUUAUUUACAUUCAGCUUUGCAAAUCAGAUGGAAUAAAAAGAAAAGAACACCAGUUCAGCACCAAAUGAUAGUAGGUUUAAAGACUAAUUUUCAAUAGUGCCAAAUAGACUGAAGUCUACAACAAUCGUUAACAAAUAAUCAACUUUAAACAAUGACAAUAAUCUGAUUAUCAAAAGUCAGAAAACUCAAGCACAUGAACCACUCAAAAGCAAACCAAAGAGCACCAUACCACUCCUGCAUAGUUGUUCGUGCAGUGUCUCCAGUCUAGCUUGAUAGUCACCGACUUGCCUCUCUAAAGUGUUGAAAGCUACCAUGAACUCCGAUUUAACCUAUUAAUUGCAAGCAUACUCACUUAUCAAUCAAUUUUUACAUCUAGAAAGUAAAUCAGGUGAACAAUACUUAAUCUAGCCAAAGUUAGUUUCUAUAACUCAAGAGGAAGAGGCUUAAAGGAAAAGAGAGAAAUAAGCAAAUUGGAGAUGCAAAACAAGCAACUGAAGGAAGGAGAAAAAUGGGGAGGGGGGGGGGGGGCCUUAGAGGACAAGUAUAGUGAUACCGAGUAAGUACUUUUGGCUGUAAAAGUACACGUGUGCAACUUAGGGUAAUUGCACCAGUAGCUCCUACAUUUUGAGCCAGGUUUUACGUUGGCCCCCAAACUUUUAAGUUGGAUGUUCAGCAACCUAAACAUUUGCAUCUAUACAUCCAUGUAACCACCCAUCUUUCCGCCCUCAAUCCCAUCUCAUAUCUCAAUCUAUAGCACUCACUUAGUUUCAGCCUUUUCCCUACUAAGAAAUUGGACAAUUCAAUUGAAAAUGUGAGACGGAUGGAGGGAUGAUGGAUUUAUGGUGCAUGGAUGUAUGGAUGAACCAAUUCAGCCAACAUAUUUUUCCUCUAAGGCACCAGCCUGGAAACUUGACUAAAAGUUCUGGGAGGAGUAGUGCAACUUAGCUGUGCAACUUAUAGAGCAAUAUAGAGGUCUAAAUUGAUGCGCCAUGUUAAUAAAGAAAGUGAACUUAAAUCAAGUUAAGUGACACAAAAUGAACAGAAUAUCAUGCAGAAGCCAGAACUACUGCCAAGAUGUAUUCGAUGAAGAUGUUAAAACAAAGUUAUAGGAAGAAUACCAAAUAGAUAAGACAAUAUAACUACAAAAGAAGAAAAAACUUCUUUCUUAUUCUAACUAACAAAAUUCAAGCUUUCAAGUAACUAAUAUCUUGUCUUUCAAAACCUGCAUAUCUUUCAUUUCCAUGCAAUCUAAAUGCCACAAAUUAUCGUGUGAUACCAUUACACUAUCGUCCAUACUACUUAGUAAACUCAACCUCUUGACCAUUUCAUAUUUUUCCUGUUAUCUUCCAUAGAUGCAGCAGAGAUACAGCAAGAUAGUAACUACAAUCACACUUCUUGGCUUAUUUGAUAAAGCUAAACACAUGAAUUACCGCUCCCUAAGUAUUUCUCAUAAAUUUAACGUUUUGACUUCUGCUAACUACUAAUUGGAAUGCAAGAAACUCAAAAAUCCAUGAAUACUCAUUCUUAAUUCUGCUACUACCCUAAAGAGAAAAUAUACAUUACUCAUUCAAGAAUUAUGAAUCAAACAUUCACUGUUCAGGAUAUUAAUUUUCCAAAAUCCAAACAGAUAAAAUUGCCGCAAGGAAUUAGUAACCACACCAGCACUUCAAUACAAGCAACUCGAGAAUUUACCAUUAAUCUCACAGUCAUGCCAAGAAAUUAAACAUUAACACGAUAAAGCAACCACAAAAAGAAGCUAAAUAUGGCAAUAUCUCAUCGUAUCACUUCAAAUUUUGAAUCGAAAGCAAAUCACGUCGAAUCAACUAGGGUUGCUAUUACGACGGAGGGAGCGGGGGAUCACCAUCUGACGGCAAUGGUAGGUGCAGACCAUCGGAUCGGACGGCUCGGCGGAGGCGAUGGGGACGGCGGCGGCGCCGCCGCCGUAGGGCACGAGGCGGCGGUCGGAGACGGGGCUCUCGUCGCCAGCGACGGACUCGGCCCUACGCUUCCUCUGAGGCGGGGUUCGGAGCAUCAUCUUCUCGAGAUGGAGCGUGUAGGGUUAGGGUUUUAUCGAGCGAGAGAGAGAGGGAGGGGGGAGUUUCGUUCGAAGGAGAGCGUAGGGCGCGACGAGAGCUCUCUUAUUCUUUUGUUUCUCUGUUGGGGGAAGGAGCGGGGGAGGCCAAAAUCCUGUGUGUGAAUGAAUUUGGUUUGGUAUGGGAAAAUUGUAUAUAUACCCCUUAAAUGUUAUCUUCUUUGUUUUAACACACACCUGAACUUUUAAUUAUCAACUUUAAACUUUAUCUAAUAGUUUAAUAGGCAUAUCGCUCCAUCCUUUAAUUACGUAGUUAAUUUAAAUCCUUUAAACUUGGCAUAUUUGCCAAAAAAAAAAAUUAAAAUUACUAGUUUUGUGUUUUUACAAAAGUGAAUCACUUUUUUAUUAUUACAAAUUCGGUUCAAUUUUUUUAAAACUUGAUUAAAAUAUUCAUGGACCUUAAAUACCUUUAUUUUUUCUUACUCCACCCUUUCUUAUGGAUUGUCUUCGCCGCCACGGGCGGUCGCCUCUACACUAACUUUUCUAUCAUAUUCGCAUUGUGGUGUUCCUCGUGAGCUAGAGGAAGACGAUGGAUUUGACCUACUUGUUGUCGCGGCCGCUCAGAGCUUCGUUGAAGAUGGAGACAAAGGUGGCGGAGGAGGGUGAUGAUCAUUGACCGAGAAUACUUCUGAAUCAUGUUCACGACGUGAGCGUACGUGACUGGCGGCAGCGAAGUGGUGGUGAUAAUGAGAACGUUGCGAUAUUGUGCUAUUUUUUAAAAAAUACACCAUUUGAAUAUAUACGUCUUUAGUAAAAAAAUUGCAUUAUUUAUAACUUAUCAUAUAUAUAUAUAUAUAUAUAUAUAUCAAAUAGUUCAAUAUCACGUCAUUCAUCAAAAUUUUCUCUCUCGCUACUACAACCACCUCGUAGCCAUUGCUUACGUUUGCAAACUCGUUCGUAAAUUUACUUCAGGAGUAUUCUCGACCAGCGAUCAUCGCCCUCUUUCUCCGCCAACUUCAUCUUCAUCUUCGGCGUUAUAUACUCCGAGCGGUAUCAUUCUCGUCUCUACCACAGCGACCUUGCCAAAAAAUUUAUGAAAACGGCCAUGGCUACGAGAGAGUCAUGCUUCGUCGUAGUCCUCUUACUUAUGGGCGAGAUAGGGAAGGAGCACAGUAGGGAUGUGAAAAGCGGUGGAGGGGAGUAAGAAGCGAGAGGGAAAAAUGAAAGAAGAGAGAGAAUAUAAAUAUUUUGAUUAUUUGAAAAAUAGAUCAAAUUCUGUAAAAAUAAAAAAAUAGUCUACUUUUGAAAAAUCACAAAAUUAGUUUCAAACUUUUCAAAAUUUUAAAAUUCACGUUGAUUUUAAAAAACUUCUGCAAAAUAUAAUUUCAAACCACAUUCCGAGGUCCCUUUUCGCGUGGAGAGCAUCGUUACCUCCUAAUCUCACGCUCCCUGUCCUAAAACCCCCCACCAAAACCCCAGCGUUUUCCGAAACUCGACGCUUAAUUACUUUACUUUUUCUUCGUCUCUCCCAACCAAAAAAACCACAGAUCCACCCCUUCCGACACCUCGCGAGCUUCGUCGACCAUGGCGAGCGCUCUACGCCUCCUCCUCCUCCGCUCUCCUCAUCCUCCGCCGCAGCGGCGCUUUUCAUUCCCCUCCCUCUCCCUCGCCUCGCGCUCCUACGCCGCCGCGGCGAAACCCUACCCCUCGCCCUCGAAGCCGAGGGAGAAGGAGAGCCCCGGCGCCGAACCAGAGCCGUCCGAUGAUGACGCGGAGAGCGCACCGACGGAGGGGAUCAGCAGGCCCCUCUCGGAGAUCCUCAAGGAGCUGGGGAAGAAGGUCCCCGACUCCCUCGUCAAAACCCGCGUCGAAGAUGGUUUCCCCAUCAGAUACAUCCCCUGGUUCGAUUUUUUCUUUUUUUAAUCACAAAACCCCUUCAAAUUCUCCCUGAUUCCACUUUGAUCCACUAACCCUUUUUGUGUUCCAUUGCAUUUUGGACCGUUAAAGUUGAUAAGCUAACUGUUCAUUUGUUAUUAAGCUUCCCCUGUUGCAAAAGUUUAAAUUUUGGUCACAAAUUACCAAAAAAAUAAAGCAAGUUAGUGAGUUUUUGUGUGUGUGUGUGUGUGUGUGUAAAUGAAGGUACAAUUAGGAGAAUGUUAGUGGAUUCUAUGAUUUAAAACCUGUUCUGUUCCCUGUUGUUUGUGUUUGAAUAAGGGAAUUAAGAAUUUAUUAAGCAGAGCAGAGAUCCAAGAUAGAGUUUUAUCGUAGUAAUAAUAUUUGGUUAGGAUAGUAAAUGAUGUGAUAUAUCAAUUAGGGGGUGGUGGUAAUAGUUCCUCACAGCGGUGUUCUUAAUGAGCUUGAUUGAUUCAAUUAGGUGAGGUUUAUUUAAUUAUGUUUCUUAAUAGCUAGGGGGGCAGAACUACGAUUCUAGAUAGUAGUUCCGUGAGUGCCUGCGACUUACUCAUUUCGAUGUUCCAUAGAUCGAGAAUUAAGUUAAUCUUAAGCAUUGCAAGGGACGCGAAGCAUGAUUUUGGAGGAAUGCUUACGCAUUCAUACCCGCGUUCGCUUCCUCCGUCCCCUACUAUUUCAUUUGUCAUCUUUGUAAGUGUUUAUUCUCGCACAUUCAUCAAUAGAUUUGCUGAGUUUUUGGUGACAGAGCAUAUUUUAUUUGUGCAUAAAAAAGGUCAUGAAGUUUAACUCUUUGUAUGUUUGUGCUAAAAGAAUAUAUAAUAAAAUGGUUGAAGUUUUAAUCCUGUGUAGUAAUUUUUAGCACUUGCAAUCAAAGUAUUUGUGCUGUGAAUUCGAUUUUCUUCAGGUUUUACGGCGAAGUCUAUAUUCAUUUUACAAUGCUAUAUCCGUAUUAAGUUGUUUCUUACAUACUUUUUUCUUGUAUUCUUCUUGCAGGCAUAUUGUCAAUAGAAUCUUAAAUCUGCAUGCUCCUGGUAUGUAACAGUUAAUAUAUAAUGAAAAAGGGCUACUACUUACUACUUGGACCAAAUUAAAAUGUGUUCGAAAUUUGAAUCAUGUCCAAAUCAUCUCUCAGUCCUUGUCGUUUCACAUUUUCUGCAGAAUGGUCUGGUGAGGUACGCAACAUUGUUUAUUCAUCUGAUGGGAAGUCCGUAUCAGUUGUUUAUCGCGUGACUCUUUAUGGGACUGAUGCUGAGGUACCAUUUUGUCAAAAUCUUUUCUUAUUUUUGAUUCCUACAUGAGUAUAUCAAUGUUGUUGGGGCAUUUUAUUUCUCGCAAAAUCCCUGCUUUAGAAUUUCGCGUGUUUUCUAUCUUGAUAGGCUCUUAGGUGCAUUUUAGAUUUUAUCUUGUAGCUUGGUUCUCACUGUGGAGCUCAAUGAACUUUUAUCACCAGAAUAUAAGUUGUCCCUUGGCAUUGAUGCACACUUAGAAAGUUUUGUGUUGCUUUUUGUACAUGCAGAUCUACAGAGAAGCAAGUGGAACAGCAUCUGUUGAUGAUACGGGUUACGGAGACCCUGUGCAGAAGGCAGAGGCAAUGGCCUUCCGCAGAGCUUGUGCACGUCUCGGUCUCGGGCUUCACCUUUAUCACGAAGACAUGUCAUAGAAUGCGCCAUUAUCUCGGUAUGCAAUUUUGAAAGUUUACAUGACUCAGACAUGCAUAUAUAUACUUAUUAGCGCAUACCAUUUUGCAAUGGACUGUUUAUUGUCUGAAUGUAAGAAUUGGCUGUGUUUAACUCUGUAAAACUUAUUAUUGUAAAAUGGAUCAAAGGAUUUAUCAAUGUAAGCUUAUUGAUGCAAGUACAGUUUUCUUAGACUAUUGGAGGAUAUUUGCUUGUGUGGUAGCAAAACUUAUCCUUUUUCUUUAACGAAAAUUUAUAAUUCCAAAUUAGGUAAAGCCCUUAGGGAUGCAAAUGCCUGUUUGCUUCAGCCGUGAUAAAACAGUAGGGGUGCUACUCAGUUGGGUUACUUUGGGUUAAAGGGUGUAACUAAGAUCGACCAUUCUUGGGAUUGCGCUUUUGGGCUAAAAUCAUGUUGGGUUGGGUUGAGACUGAGUUAGGAUGGGUUGGGUCGGUUAGGUCGAAUUACUCAGAAUCUGUAUUAAGUGUUAGUAUGGAAAUGAUUAGUAUUUUAUCCUUUUAUGGUUUUCAUCCAAUCUAAAAGGAGAAAAAAUAUCCAACACAUAUGAUUGUAUUUAGUUAUAAUGUAUUUGUUAGUUUGUAUGAUAUAGUUUAAAUCAGGUAGGGUAAGUUGUGUUAGGUUGGGUUGGGUCCAGGUUAGGCACUGGUUGACUUUGAUAUCAUACCUAAUCUUAGCUCAAUAUAAAUUCUAGACUGGAUAAUGUGACCUUACACAUUUAUUGCAUUGAGUGGUGGUUUUGGUUGAACCCAACCCAAGAUGCAGCCAUGUAAAACAGCUUCAGUAAUCCUUCAUCAAAUGGAUGCAAGGUUAAGAUCCUCUGAACCUUUCCAUAUUCCCAAACAAAAUGACCUUGAUUAACAGACAUGUUCUGAUUAUCAUUUUUCAGCAUCAAAGGAUGAUAGUUUAAAUACAGUUUUGAAUUUUUGACUAACCAACUACUCUAGGUAUUAGUUGUUCUUGAUUUAUUCCUCCUUUCACUAGUUAUUCAUCAAAGCCAGACAAGUAAAGUGACCAUCCUCAAGUGAAUCCUAGCAUUGAUAAGGGUUCUAAAGCAAGUUUUCAACACAUUACAAUAUUUGAUCAAUUGCUAUUGCUGUUGCCAAAAGGAAGUAAAAUAAUAACAAUAAGAACAUAGGAGCAGGAGACAAACAUGAUUGCAGAAAUAUGCAGUUCUAAUACAGGCACAGCAAAAAGAUUAAUAUCAUAGUACAGCAAAUAUUAACUUAGUGAUUCGACAUGGUACAUAUCAUAAUAUCAGCUUGUCCUAAAGUGGCAUGCACACUUAUUACAACCCAUGUCACUAACAGUACAUUAAUAGUACCUUUAAAAAGCAUCAAUGUCUGAGAGAGAGAGAGAGAGAGAGAGAGAGAGAGAGAGAGAGAGAGGGAGAGGGGGAGAGAGAGACUCUUGGACCUAACCAUGGCACUUUUUUUUUUUUUCAUUUUUUAAAGGUGGGUAGUGGGAUGUUAGAGGAGUUGGGACCCAAAAGAACAAAAAUAUCAACUUGGGUCCAUUUUUGGUGGUUGGAACUCCAAAAGCCAUUUUUGGGGUCCAUGUGAGAAUAAAGGACAUGAGGUAGAGCUGAAUGCAUAAAACAAACAUCAGCACUCCCUUUAACUCUUGUGUUAGAUGGGCUAAACUCUCCUCAGAGCUUAACCACAAAAAUGUACACAAAAAACUAGCAACAAAGAUGGUUAGUGAUUCAUCUUACCUUGGAUUAGGUAAGGUGAGUGGCUAGUUACACUAAAUUAAUAUAUCUAAAUGAUGGUUAGGUAAUAUUGGUGGGUGGAAUAGGUCAAGGGGUUUUGUAGGGGACAAGCUUAAGAAGUUCUUAAGCUCAUCAAGGGCUAGGGUUUAAACAUUGACUAGGGUUUGUGAGACUUGUCCAAUAAGUUGUUGGGUCACAUUUUCUUAAUCCUUGUUAACUUGGUAUUAGCUCAAGCCCUAAUUAGAAAUAUGCUUGAAGCUCAGUUAGGGUUUCUUUUGCCAUAGCCCUCUUGGGCUUAGGGUUUCUCAAGUCCCAAGCUAGGUAGCUUUUUUGCUUUACCAUAAAGUCCUUCUUGGACUAGGGUUAAUUAGAAUGCUUCUACUUUUAUAUCAUGGGAACACCAAAAGUUGGUGCAUGAUGAGGGUUAGAAAUAUAGAAGGGUUUCUGUUAGUAAAAAGCCCCAACCUUGGGGCAAGGUGCUUUGAGCCCAUCCUUAGGGCAAAAGCACUUUCCCAAACACCCACAAAUAACAAGUGGUGGCUUGGAGAAAAGGCACUUCUCCACAUUCUCAGGUUUUUGUCCUUCCCACAGCCCCUGUGGGACUAAACCUGGAAUCAUGAUGACCAUGUGGUGUACACUAAUACAUGCAUGGACUCACACUGAGGGGAAAAGGAAAGAAACAAUUGGAAGUAACCAUGGUUAAACCAAGGGUUGCUCCGGCGCCGCGGCCGCCGCCGCAGAGACGGUGAAGGGAGAAGGGAUAAGCCUGUAGGGAUGGGCAUGAGCUUGAGGUGGAGUAGUGGGAAGAGUUGGAGCUGUGAGACCCAUAGUCAUGCCUGUUUUAUGGGGAAACACACUGUUAAGAUAUUAGUGUAUGUAGCUAGUGAAUUAGACAUGGUAGCAACACAUGCUAAUACAAUUGUUUCAGAAGUUAAUGUAGAACCAUUUAACAUGUUAUAUGUCUUGGUAACAUUGAAAUUGAGAAUUACAUUUUAUUCCAUAGAUUUAAGAUAUCUAUUGAUGCAAUACCAGACCAAGGUAAAUGAAUGGGUGAUCCUCGUACUUUUCCGAUUUUGGUACUUGGUUCCUAUACUUCUCACUCGUAGUCCUCAAAACUUUCACAUUUAUUGCACUUCAGCUGCUAAUUCUUAGAAAAAAAAUCUUGCUUUUUUCACAAACCAACCUUGCAUGUAGCUCUAUUUGAAAUCAAGUGAAAUUAUUGUUUUAUAUAUUUUGAUAGUCAGGGACUGAAGCGCAUAUAUGCGAAAGUCGAGAAACAAAAAGAUUCAAAUGGAAAACAGAAGAACCAAGUCGCGAUAUCAGGAUAGUACAGGGACAAUCCAUGCAUUUUACCCUAUACCAAAACGAAUUGCCUUUUUAACAAAUUUUCAGCCAUAUAUAACCUACUUCAUGACAUGCAAAACAUGCUGACACAAUGAAAAAAAAAACUCUGAACUAAGCUGUGAAGUAGUACCUGCUUGUGCUGGUGGGCUAGGUGCAAGGGACAAUGGACCUCCAUAGUGUUGGGCAAAGCCGGUCAAUCCGGCCGUCGAAGUCGCCACCGCGGAGUAGUGGAACAUCUGGGGGUAGUGCAAGCCGUAGCCUUGCGUUCCGGUGGCGAAUGAAGCUGCUCCACCGACGCCGCCGCCGCCGCCGCCCUGGCCGAAUUGGAAGUAUGGGUAGUAGGGAGUUGUUCCAGUUACCAUCCCAGUUGCCCCUCCAUAUACUGGGUAUUGUGUUGUGGCUCCUCCAUACAUGUUGUAGUAGUUCUAUAUGUAUCAGUAAAAAGCAAUUUUUAUUUUUAGAAACAAAACUUAAAAAGGAGAUUGUUUGAUGACUAAAGCAUUGUAUAAUUUGCUUCUUCUAUGAUUUGCAAAACAAUAGAGAAAAAACCAACCAUUGGAACUAUAGUGAAAUUAAUAAGCUUAUUGCUUAUUUGCGUAAGUAGCUAGGUUAUGUUAUUCGUUCAUUAUUUUUGAUUGGUAAUGGAGUUAAUUAUGUUGGAAUAAAUGUAGAAUUAUUUGACUGCGUAAGGCCUUAAUUGAAUGAUUCUAAAUCUGUAUUUAUUGAUAGAAUAAUUGACUAUUUUGGAAACAGUUUCUGGUAUUACUACUAUUAUUGUUAUUAUUUGCAUGUGUGUGCGUGUGAAGCUCCAACUCUUUUAGGCCACAAAAUUAUAUUUUGUUCGCUAUAAUAGAAGCUUCAAAUUCUUUUUAUUUUGUUACAAAAAUUAGCGCAUGAAAGUAGAAACAGAAGCAGAGCCAAACAUGCUUUAGAGUUAAUUACAUAAUAACAAUAAUAAUACCAUAAAGUUUAUGUCAUGUUGGAAAUGGUAGAAUAUGAUUCACAGCUUUAUCAAAAAGAGGAAGUGUCUGCAUCUAACAGUCCCUUAGUGGAUCAAAAAACCGAAAUGUAGGUUGGAUUAUUGGAUGAGGAGGGCCCAACCCAUGUGCAUUCUAUCUUAAUGGGUAAAGUAAUUAAGGGUACCAACCCGUUAAGCGCUAUCGGGUCGGGUUCGGACAUGCCCGGGCCUAGCCCAUGUGCACCAGUACAAGGCAAGUUACUAAUAGGGCACCAACUUUUGGAUAGGUGGUAGGCAUAAGCUUUUGGAUAAGACUAUUGUAACACUAGUGUAGGAAACUGCGCGAUGCGGCGGAAAAAAAUUUUUAGUAAAAAUUUAGUAAAAAUUUAUAAAAUAAAUAAACAAAUAUGAAACAUAAAAAAGAAAAAGAAAAAUAUAAGUAUAUUUGAUUGAAAAUAUUACAUAUUUUCUCAUAAAUGGUAGAUCAAGAGCCACUAAAAACAGAAAGUAAAUGUGAGUAAAUGAAACAAAAAAUAAAGAGUCAUUUGAAAAAAUAAAAUAAAUAUAAUUUUUUAGAGAAGAGAAAAAAUGACUUAGGGCCCACACCUCCCUCGAAUUAAGUAGAUACAUCCACAUAGGAUUUAGGCAUGAGAAUUCAUGUAUAAGUAUAGAUAUAGAUAUUUUCAAAAUGCUGCUCUUUUGGGGUAUUGAUGUAUUAAUAUAUGCAUGAUACAGAGGUUUUUAAUUGAUUUAUACACACAGUCAAAGAGUGCCGCGUGUAUUUGCUAAUACAUCAACAACAUAUAAGGAUAAUAGUUUGGAAUGUUUUAGAUCCUCACGAAAGUUUAUCUUUUUGCUGUUGAUGUGUCGGCAAAUUCAUAUUACGCCUUGCACAGUGUGUGUGUAAACUAAUCAAAAUUUCUACAUCAGCAUUCUUGGGGACCCAAGUUAACAUGGACCCCUGUAAAUGGAAUUAUAAAAUGCAUGGUUGAGAAUUAAGUAUAGGAGCCCAUACUUGUAUUCGUCCAUAGGAAACCUCAUCAAAUUUCUAAAAUUGGAAAAUUUAUACAUAGUUGUUAUUUUAGAUAAUACACAUAUAUGUUAUAGAAUAGGUUAGUGUUUGAUGUACUAGAGUGGUACUAAAUUUUAACUUAUUGCGCUGAGUAACUGAAGAGUGAUAUCAAGAGAAUUAAACCACAAAAUAUAUCGAAAAUAUAUAGCAAUGCGGUUGUGCGCAUGCAUGUGAUUAUAAAUUUACGUAGCCAUGUAUGUAUGUACGUACGUACACUUACAAGUGCUUCAUUUUUCAUUCUUAAAUUGUUGCAUGCAUUUUCAAAGUUAACUAAAAAGAAAUUAAUUUGUCUCAGAUUAUUUUCAUGUAAUGAUUAAUUGUAAUAACAUAAAAGCAAAUUAAAGAGGGGGACAAGGAAACAAACCGUGGGGUAGCUGUAGUCCGCAGAAUACGGAGAAUACCUGCAAAUUGUUUGAUUUAAAAAAAAGAAAAGAAAAAGUGUUACAUUGUGAGAAGCUUUUUCCAGGUCAUUGCAACUUUAUCAUGUGUGUGCAUAUGGAUAUAUGCGCAUUAAUGCAUCGUAUGUAGAUUGAGAGAGAUGCUAAAUAAUACAAAACAAUCCUCGAGAUCUGAAAAAAAAAAUAUUAUUUUCUAAAAAACUACUCUAUUAUAUAGAGAACGGUGCUUUGAGAAGCUUUUCCAGGUCAUUGUAACUUUAUCAUCAUAUAGGUGCGCAAGGAUGCAUGCAUGAAUGCAUAGUGUUUGUAAAGAAAAAGAUGUUAAGUUACGUGAAACAAUCAUUCAGGUUAUGAGUCUAAAUAAACUAAUAUUAUGUUAAAUGAUAUAAAAUACUAAAUCGAUAAAAAAAUAUUUUUAAAUUUUUAUAUUUAAAGAGAGAGAGAGAGAGAGAGUGCGCUUGUGCAUGUGCAGUAGGGUAUGAUGACUACAAAUGAGCGCAUGCUUAGCAACUUUAUGAACACCUGUGCGUGAGAGAGAGAGAGAGAGAGAGAGAGAGAAAGAAAGAGAGAGAACAAUUAACCAGAGAGAGAGAGAGAGAGAGAGAGAGAGAGAAAGAGAGAGAACAAUUAACCACACUAGUACCAUGAUCAUGUGCCAUGGUACAAUGCACGUGCAAGGCAUGUGAUCAUGAGCCUUACAUCUUACUUCUAAUUAGUAAUCUAAUUAAUAAUUAGAUACUGCAUUGAUCUUCGUGAACAAAAAGGAAAACCAAAAAAAGAUUUAAAAAAAAAAAAAAGAAAAAGGGGAAAAAAAGCAUACCCAUAGACGUUAUAUGGGAUCCCUUGUUGGAUGGCAUAAUGAGGGAAGGUGGAGGGAGAAGGAAAAGCUGUGGCCACCCCACCAUGAAGGCCUGUGUGGAAGGACUUCAUCAUCCUAAAGCUUCUAUUUCCCCCUGCAGUAGUAAUUUAUAUAUAUUAAUAUUCAUAUAUACCAUAUACUGUCGAAUAUAAAUAUUAAAAAUACCGUAACGUAUAUAUGUUAGAAGCAUUAGUUGUUCUUCUGAUAACUAAAACUUUUAGAAAAAAAAAAAUAGUUGUUUUAUAGAAUUUAACAACUAUACAUUAAUAUAUUAAACCAUCAUGGCUUUGAAGCUAUGUAUGUAUAUUUAAUUGCACUUAACAAAAAGUUUCAGCUCUUAAAUUAAUAUAAGCACAUUAAUGAUGAAGGAGAGAGCACACAGGAAUAUUAAUACAAAGGUUAGAAAAACAAAUAAAUGUGAAUAAAUGCAUACAACUAAUUAGUGUUUCCUAUCUCAAUUAAUCUGAGUACUACUAAUAAUUAAUAACAUUGUUCUUUUUUCCUCAGCAAUAUAUUAUAAUUAAUCAUGGAGAUCCUUUUGAGGAAACUUUUCAUACACUAUAAUAAGAGCCUGCAAACUUAUUCUUAGGUUUUAUCCACAAGCAUGCUUCAGAGCCUUUUUCUGAACAAGGAGAAAAGAUAAAAUAACCAUUAACACAAUUGUAGUCAAUAUGUAAGUGUUUGUAUUAGCAUCACAUGCAUGCUUUAGUGUUUAAGACAAAAGAUAUUGGCUCAAGUACUAAAGAUGAAGCAAAGGAUGUAUGUCUACAUGUGUUAAUAACUAAGUUACAUUUUGUAAAUGGCAUUAUCUUAGAUGGUCUAUGAAAAUCCCAAUUUAGGACCAUGAUCAUGGCAGUAUAAUUAAUUAGAUGGAAUAAAACUAGAUAUAAGUAAAGUGGUUAGUAAACAAAAUGAAUACUUAAUAUGUAACACAUGAGAUUAAUUAAUUAUAGCAAUGUCUCACCAUGUUGAGGAGUUGUAGGCCUAGAUCUCUGAACUCCUAAGGAAGCAAGAUUGCAAUUAGCUCUCCUCCCAUCUAUCACCGGCGCCGGAUCGACGCAAGCCCUCAUCGCAGCCUCGGGCUCUCGAAAUGUCACCUAAAAAUUCAAACAAAGCAAAAAAAUUACAAAUGUUACAAGCAUUAAUUAAGCUAUCAACUUAAUUUGCAAGCAAUUUGAGAAAGAACAACAAAAUGAAGAUCAUAGAUAGAUGAAAGCUAAUUAGCCAUAAAAUCAGAAUAUUCUUGUUCCAAUAUAGUUAACAAUUCACCACAAGAUCAUCUUACUACUAUAUACAGAUAUAUGUAUAUUCACUGUUCUCUUUGAUUAAUAUGUAAACCAUGAAGACCAAUUAGAUACAAAAAAGGAUCACAAUCUAAAACGAACAAGGAAAUAUGCAUGAUCAACAUAGUUAACUUAACAAAGGUGUACUAAAAAGUUAAACAAACAAACAAAUAUAUAUAUAUAUAUAUAUAUAUAUAUAUAUAUAUAUAUAUAGGAAAGAAAAAGGAAAAAGAUCUAUCACAAGGGAAAGUAAGUAAUUGGAGAACUCACAAAUCCAUAGCCCUUGGAUCUGCCAGUGUUCUUAUCAGUGAUCACCACAGCCUCCAAGAUCUCCCCAAACUGCUCAAAAUAUCUCCUCAUGGUGUCCUUCUGAGUCUCCCAAGCAAGCCCACCAACAAACACUUUGGUGUAAGUGGUGUCUCCAAAUUGCCCUCCUCCUCCUCCUCCUCCUCCUCCUCCUCCCAUGUUGUUGUUGCUAUUAUUAUUAUUAUUAUUUGGUGGACUCAUAUAUGUAUGUAUCUAUAUGAUCUCCUCACCCUCUCCCACCACAACAACACCAACAACAACAACAACAACAACAACAAAGAGAGAAAAAAGAAAAAGAAAAGCACCUAGCAAGCUUGUUUCCUCACUCCUCUCCCCUCCUCCUCCUCCUCUCUCUCUCUCUCUUUCUCUCUUCUCUCCUAUAUAUCUUCUCUCUCUAGAGAAAACUACUCAAUAACCCUGCUAGAGAUUAAUGGAGAAAAGAGAGAAAGACCCACCAAGGGAUAGGAGUGGUCUCUCAAAGCUUAGGGAUUGAUGAUGAGAGAGAGAGAGAGAGAGAGAGAGAGAGAGAGAAAGAGAAAGAAGUGAUAAAGGUGAGGGGAAAAAGAAAGGGGAAGAGACCUUGGGGCACACCAGUAAUACAACAUUUAUAUAUAUUCUCACUCACUACUGGUUGUUAUUUUUAUUAUUUUUAUUAUUUUUAUUGUAGUUUAAUUAUUAUUAGGUAAAAUGUAAAGAGACCCAUAAGUAUAGACAAUUUUGUUCAAACUGCCCCAUCAACUUUAUAAUUUGUAAUUUUUCAUAUAAUCGAGUGAUUUUCGUCGGAUGGAUUAAAAGUUUUAUCAAAUUAUAUUUACACUAUCUUGAGCUAAUAAUUUUAUUUACUAGCUAGCAAAUAAAAUUGACAUAAUAAAUUAUAAAAAGAAGAAAAGGAAAAAGGCCAUGCAUGGAGCUAAAAAAACUUGAAAAAAAUAGAAAAUAGGGAGAUAUCAAUUGAAAAAAAUUGAGGGGGUCUCACAACAUUUUCACAAUAUAAUAUAAUAAUAUUACUCCCUUGCCACUGUGUGUUAUGUUAAUUAUUAUUGGUCAUCCUCAUUCGCUAGUCCAACAAAGCUCAUAAAAUAAUAUAAAGGGCACCACCCACCCUGUUACACAUAUACUGUAUUGAAUAAAGCGAAAUGACCAAUAUGCCCCGCGAAUUUCAUUAAUUUACAACAAUGCCAAGUACCUAACGUCACCCCGUCCUUUGUCUUGGAGUGGCAAAAACGGAACGGGAAAGAUCCUAACGGGAAUUGGGGAGCACAAAUUUAUAAUAAGUAGGAUGGUUUUGUUAUAUAUAUAUAUAUAUAUAUAUAUAUAAGUAUGCUAACUGUGCUAUUAAGAGACGACAGCACCGUCUUAGUGCUCCUAACUUGUUGUAACUACCCAUCAAGUUUGAUUGGGCACGUUAGAAGUUAUAGCACAAGGUGUGUGGCUCCUAAUAGCACAGUAAGCCGCUGCUAUACUAUUAUAAAUAUAUAUAAUAUAAUAUAUUAUAGGCUGGGCUACUAAACUGUUUUAUGAGUAUAGAAUCUUUUCUUAUAUCUCAUUAAUAUUGGUUUACACUCGAGUGUUUUUGUUAGGAUGAUGGUGUUUUCCCACUUACAGAAUGAUCAGUGUCUUUAGGGUUAUUUGGUAAAAUUGUAAUAAUAUAUAUAUAGGGUGAAAAUAAUCAAUGGAACAAAUCUUUAAGGGCCAAUUAUAAUAUAAAGUCAAUAUCUGCAUAAAAUAUAGUAGGGCCGAGACUCAUAUAUUAUUAUAUAUAUAUAUUAAUAUAUAUUAGAGAGAGAGAGAGAGAGAGAGAGAGAGAGAGAGAGAGAGAGAGAGGUGUUUUUAGUGUUUAUCCGAAUCUUUAUUGAAUAUAAACAAUGGUUAUUAGGGUUUAGGGUUAGGUUUUACUUUAGUUGGAAAGGUAUCUAGAAUUAAGCACACAUAGGGCCCACCCUUGGAGAAAUUGUUGUUUGGAUUGGAUGCACAAUGUUGGGGGUGGACCGCGCAUUGAAUCUGCUAUUUACAGGUAAAAAUAUUUAGAAAUUAUAUAUACUAUGGAUUAUUUUGAUUUGGCUAUUCAAUCUUUCAAAAUUUAGAUUUUAACUUUAAAAUUUGAAUGCAUCGUUUAUUUUUACAUUUUAGUUAGGAUACAUCACAAAAUUUUGACAACAAAAAUUUGUUAAAAUAAGUAAUUAAAUUUGAAGUUAAAGUAUUGUUGCUAACUCAAACUAAAUAUUGGAUAGUAAAAUAAAAAUUUCAAAAGAUUGGGUUACCAAUUCAAAAUAAAUCAUAGUUUAUAUAAGUUCUGUAUGUUUUGCCUUUUUUUUAUCAUAAUUUAUUUCAGCCCCAACCAUCUAAUGAGUUGCAGUGUAUUUGUGAUAUUUUAAUAUUAAUUUGUUAACAGUAAUGGUGGCUGAAAGUAAAGAUGGGAUUGAUGGGAUUUAGUCUGAUUUGUUUUAUUUUGACUAUUUUCGACUUGACUUGGUCAAAAAAAAUUGUAUGUACUUUAAGUUCAAAUCUAGUCCAUAAAUUUUGGUUUAGGCUAUAUCAGGUCAGAUUACGUAUUGAUAUCUUGUUAUGUUGGAUGAAAGUCAAAAAAUUUACGCCUAAUUCGUCCUUGACUUAUCAUGCUAAAUAUCGGGCCUCUCAAUUCUAAUUCGCUGAGUCAGGUUGAAUUGGACGCCCUAAGCUAAUCCUGUCAAAAUUUGGCCAGACUAACCUAAUUGGGAGAGUCAAACUUAUGACAUAUUUGGUUCAUAAUUGAACAAAAAUUAGAAGUAGAACUGGAUCGUAUUAAUUGGAAUAAAAAAUAGAAUGAUAAAUCAUCCAAAAUUAUUUGUUUAUCAUUGAAAUGAAAAUCAAAUGAACAUUUAGAAUAUUGAGAGAGUGUUUUGGUUAAAGAGAAAUUAAGGAGGUGAUGAAGGGAGAGGAGGAAAAAGUGUUUUUGAGAGAAAGUUUUGAGUGAUUUACUUUGUAACGAGCCAAUUCAGAAUUCAAAAUUAAAUUGAAAUAUAAAUAGAUUGAGUUAUUUUCAUUAUAAAAUACAAUCAAAAUUGAAAUUCGAUUUCUGUAAAACAAACAACCAUUAUUAGAAUCAAUAAAUUUCGUUCCGAUUUCAUAAUUGAAAACAGGUGAACCAAACAAGUCCUUAGUUUACACAGCUUUUUGAAUGACAGAUCAGUACUGGACAGUCCGCGGCUAAAAUGGUGGACCAAAUCCAAGCAACAAUUCCCCUCCCUCCUAAAGAUGAAAUGGUGGGCACAUGGUGAUGGACAUAGGGAGCAUAUAUAGGGUAUAAUGGCCUAUCAUGGGAAAGGUAGAGAGGGUUCACUGUUACCCAAUUGGGGGGGAGAGGCUCAAUAUAUACACAGCUGUUCCACCCAACUACAAGCAGUGGACAAGGACACUUGAGCUAUAAAUUCACCCACACCAACUCCCUCUCUCUCUCUCUCUCUCUCUCUCUCUCUCUCUCUCUCUCUCUAGAUCACUUGGCUAUUAAGCUAAAACUAAAUUUAUAUGGACAUGCAUUUGAUGGGAACAUUUUUGUCUUUUAUUCACAUAAUAGAUAACACUUGCUAACCACCUUUAUUGUUUUGAUUUGUCAUGUUCAUGGAACCCAAACUUAUAAGAGGAGAUUGUUAGGUCUUGGAUAAUUAGAGCUUAUCUUUUAAGCUAAUCUGCACGAAAAACACAUUUUAAUUUGAUAGUUUAUGCAUUUGUUUGAUUUGACUAUUUUGAUGUUUAUCCAAUAUAUAUAUAUAUAAUAAUUUAUUUUUUCAUUAAUACUCAACUUUCCGUGUUCUAAAUUAAUGACAUAAAUAUAUGAAAUUCGCACGUAUACUUUCUUUCUCCGCUUUAUAAGAAAAGAAGGGCAUAAGUUUCUAAUAAAAUUGUCCAAUAACAGUCUCAUAUUUUCUUCUUAAAGAAAAUUUUAUAUUUUCAUCACCAUAGUCACCAUAUAUUGUUUGCUUAAAUAUAAAUAUAUUGGGGAAAAUUUUAUGUAUAUUCCUGCAAAGUUUUGAAAAUACAUAUUCUAAUUAUCAGAUAUAUUUCUCUAAAGUUUCAAAAUACGAGAAUUUAUUUCUACCAGUUAACUAUCAUUAAUUUAUCGCUAUUUUUUUAUCGUUAGAACCAUUAUACCCCUGUAAAAAAAUAGUUUUUAAAAAAAGAAAGUGGAAUUUACCGUUCAUAUAGAAUGACAUGAGGUUAGAAUAAAAAUAUUAUGAACAAUAAAUGAUGCUAAAUAGAGUUAUUAAAAAGAUAUUGUUUUCAAGGAUUGAAUGAUGUAAUUGCAAAACUAUACAAUUUUGGAGGGAUAUAUUUAUUAUUAUUGACUAAAAUUUUGUAUGAAUAAAUACGUAAGUUUAUUACUUUUGUUUGAUUAUAUAUGCAAUUAACCCAAUGCAUCAAUUGUCUUUGAGAACACUUUACUAUUUAUUCACUACCUUGCUAUAUAUGUUAAUUAAUUCAUAAAGGGUAUCAUUAGGCAUACAAUUUCAAAGAACUUAGGCACCUUAAUUACUUAUUAAGCUCUCAAAUAUACAUACAUUUUUUUUAAAAAAAAAGGGCGGGAAAAUAUUCCCGCCAAAAUGGUGGAAAGAAACUUUUCAACUCCCCCCCUUUAAUUUCCUUUGUUUGUAUUAGCCCUAGUGGAUGAUGUAAUACUGUUUAAUGAAGAGCAAUAUAUUGUUUCCAAUUCUUUCUUUUUUUUCCUAAGAAAUUAGAAGUUUUUUACUGCACUAGAUGUUUCAGACUUUUCCCAUGUUCCAGUAUAUGUAAGUAAUUUUUUAGGUAAACUUUAAAUACCAUCUUGUAGUUUUGCUCUUUUUCAUUUUAAUGUUACGUGAUUUAAAGUGUAUCAAUUUAGUACUCUAUGAUUUUAUUUUUCUCUUUUCGUCAACCCUUCUAUUAAAUUUUCUUUAAACCAUAUAGAAAAAACUUUAGAUACCCAUCUAUAGUUUAUCGAAAAUUUAUUUUAGUACUCUUUAGUUUUAACUUUGCACUAAUUUAACAAAAAAAUUAGUGAAAAUGAAUAAUAAAAAGCGAAAAAUAAAAAAUAAUAAGGUACGAAAGUGAUACACUUUAAACCAUAUGGUACUAAAGUGAGAAAGUACGAAACUACAGAAGUGAUAUUUAAAGUUUUUUCUUCUUUUUUUAGUGAAAGCUAGUAUGCUAUCCGCUUCGUUUGUUUUUUUUUUAAAAAAAAAACUCAGAUAAAAAUGUGAAGCACUUUUAGGCUUUGAACAAAAAAUUUCAAGUACUAACCGCUAAAUUUUUUGCCACUUGUGUUUGAAACGGUCAGUGUAGAUAAGUAUAACUAAAAGGAAUAAUAGUAAUAGAACCAAAAUAGCUGACCUUUUCAUCUACUCAAUCGUUUACUUUGGUGUACAACAAGUAGCAUUUUUCAGAAUCAUUACUUUGCAGCUUCUACUUUGUCUGCUGAAAUUUUAUUUCUGUAGCUUGCUACAAGAAAAUAUCUUUAUUUUUUUAUGGCUAAAUUACAUAAAACUCUUUGUUAAAAUCUGAUUUUUCACUUUACCCUCCUGUCAUUUAAAAACCUACACUUUGUCCCCUUGUAAAAUGAAAAAUAUUCACUUCGCUCCCUACUGUUAGUAAUUUGUUAGGGUUCCCUUUAUAAAAUAUUAUUAUAUUUUUUUUUAUGCCCAAAAUGCUCUCAGUCUUCUCUCUUGUGAAUAUAUUGAGGGACAAAAUAGUGGGAGGUAAAAUGAUCAUUUUAUCAUCACAGUUUACACCGUACCCCCUGUGAACAUUUUUUUAUUUUACAAGGGAGCAAAAUGUAGAUUUUUAAAUGACAGGAGGGGAAAAUAAAAAAUUAAGUUUUGACAGGAAGAGUUUCUGUAAUUUAGUCUUUUUUUUUUCUUUUUUUUUGUUUUUUUAUCCUCGCAUUAGAAUUUUCAGUUUUGCAGUUGAAAUUUUAUUUCUUUUUCUU